GAUGAAGAACGUAGCGAAAUGCGAUAAGUAAUGUGAAUUGCAGAAUUCAGUGAAUCAUCGAAUCUUUGAACGCACAUUGCGCUCGCCAGUAUUCUGGCGGGCAUGCCUGUUCGAGCGUCAUUUCAACCAUCAAGCCCCCGGCUUGUGUUGGGGACCUGCGGCUGCCGCAGGCCCUGAAAAGCAGUGGCGGGCUCGCUGUCACACCGAGCGUAGUAGCAUACAUCUCGCUCUGGGCGUGCUGCGGGUUCCGGCCGUUAAACCACCUUCAUAACCCAAGGUUGACCUCGGAUCAGGUAGGAAGACCCGCUGAACUUAAGCAUAUCAAUAAGCGGAGGA
RNAcentral lists this unclassified non-coding RNA (336 nucleotides) under soil metagenome. Its description in RNAcentral is "partial contains 5.8S ribosomal RNA, internal transcribed spacer 2, and large subunit ribosomal RNA". The stretch from base 1 to 120 matches the Rfam family "5.8S ribosomal RNA", at positions 35 to 154 of the family's 154-position model. The record is from RNAcentral.